This 658-nucleotide ribosomal RNA is filed under the name uncultured bacterium. RNAcentral's name for it is "bacterial SSU rRNA". It matches the Rfam family "Bacterial small subunit ribosomal RNA", at positions 622 to 1280 of the family's 1533-position model. The record is from RNAcentral.
UGCAUUCGAUACUGGGAAGCUAGAGUAUGGGAGAGGAUGGUAGAAUUCCAGGUGUAGCGGUGAAAUGCGUAGAGAUCUGGAGGAAUACCGAUGGCGAAGGCAGCCAUCUGGCCUAAUACUGACGCUGAGGUACGAAAGCAUGGGGAGCAAACAGGAUUAGAUACCCUGGUAGUCCAUGCCGUAAACGAUGUCUACUAGCCGUUGGGGCCUUUGAGGCUUUAGUGGCGCAGCUAACGCGAUAAGUAGACCGCCUGGGGAGUACGGUCGCAAGACUAAAACUCAAAUGAAUUGACGGGGGCCCGCACAAGCGGUGGAGCAUGUGGUUUAAUUCGAUGCAACGCGAAGAACCUUACCUGGUCUUGACAUAGUAAGAACUUUCCAGAGAUGGAUUGGUGCCUUCGGGAACUUACAUACAGGUGCUGCAUGGCUGUCGUCAGCUCGUGUCGUGAGAUGUUGGGUUAAGUCCCGCAACGAGCGCAACCCUUUUCCUUAUUUGCCAGCACUUCGGGUGGGAACUUUAAGGAUACUGCCAGUGACAAACUGGAGGAAGGCGGGGACGACGUCAAGUCAUCAUGGCCCUUACGACCAGGGCUACACACGUGCUACAAUGGUCGGUACAAAGGGUUGCUACCUAGCGAUAGGAUGCUAAUCUCAAAAA